CUGCUGCCUCCCGUAGGAGUUUGGGCCGUGUCUCAGUCCCAAUGUGGCCGUUCACCCUCUCAGGCCGGCUACUGAUCGUCGCCUUGGUGGGCCGUUACCCCGCCAACAAGCUAAUCAGACGCGGGUCCAUCUUACACCACCGGAGUUUUUCACACAAAUCCAUGCGGCUUCGUGCGCUUAUGCGGUAUUAGCACCUAUUUCUAAGUGUUAUCCCCCAGUGUAAGGCAGGUUACCCACGCGUUACUCACCCGUCCGCCACUAAGAUUA
RNAcentral lists this ribosomal RNA (267 nucleotides) under uncultured bacterium. RNAcentral's name for it is "partial 16S ribosomal RNA". The record is from RNAcentral.